GUGCCAGCCGCCGCGGUAAUACGUAGGUGGCAAGCGUUGUCCGGAUUUACUGGGCGUAAAGCGCGCGCAGGCGGUUUGGAAAGUCCGUGGUGAAAUCUCUCGGCUCAACCGAGAGGGGUCUGCGGAUACUUCCAGACUUGAGUGGCGUAGACGAAGGUGGAAUUCCGGGUGUAGUGGUGAAAUGCGUAGAUAUCCGGAGGAACACCAGUGGCGAAGGCGGCCUUCGAGGCGCUAACUGACGCUGAGGCGCGAAAGCGUGGGGAGCGAACCGGAUUAGAUACCCUAGUAGUCC
RNAcentral lists this ribosomal RNA (292 nucleotides) under uncultured bacterium. RNAcentral's name for it is "partial 16S ribosomal RNA". It matches the Rfam family "Bacterial small subunit ribosomal RNA", at positions 505 to 796 of the family's 1533-position model. The record is from RNAcentral.